UCUCUAUGAAGAGAGUACAAGCAGACGGGUGGUCUGAACUGAUGCCAUGUUGAUAUGUCUGCAUCAUCUGUGCUACCCUUGUGGUUGGCAUCUGAGAGA
Molecule: small RNA, 99 nt
Filed under: Triticum aestivum (bread wheat)
Lineage: Eukaryota; Viridiplantae; Streptophyta; Magnoliopsida; Poales; Poaceae
Source: RNAcentral